RNAcentral lists this long non-coding RNA (1340 nucleotides) under Fukomys damarensis (Damara mole-rat). RNAcentral's name for it is "lncRNA (ENSFDAG00000032319.1)". The record is from RNAcentral. Lineage: Eukaryota; Metazoa; Chordata; Mammalia; Rodentia; Bathyergidae.
CUCUCGCUGUCUCUGGAGAAGUUUCCUCCCUGGAGUAUGAUUUUCCGAGAGAGGAGCAUGCACCACACAGAGGUCAAUACAAGUUUUUCCUCCUCAAAAUAAUGUAUGGGUCCUCGAAUUCAAUUCGUCACGAGAUGGUCAACAUUUGGUACGUGGACCGCGACCUGGUCCCCAAGAGAGAACAAUCAGAGCGCUCAAGGUAUUCGGCCACAGUCCUGAAAAAAUACGGUUUCGAGCUGUCCAGACCCCUGGCAAGGGACAGAUGGCGAGAGGACAGACAUGCAAGGUGGACGAAGCACUACCCCAGGCCCAGCCCCCAGCGGUGUGUGGUGCCCGGAGCGCCCCAUUUCAGCCCGAGACCCCCACCUCCUGUCGCCGAGUCAUCCCCAGCGACCCCGCCCGACUGGGCUGAAAUGAAGCUUUAUUUUAGCCCUUGUCGCCGCGAUCUGUAUUCACGUCUUUCUCCGCAAUUAGUAGAUGCUCAGUUAUUAUUUGUGAAAUUAAAUUCAGAGCACUCUGAGCAGCGCCAUUAGCGCAAAUUGAAUUUAGAUGUAAUAUACCCAAGGCAGACCUCAGAGCCCAGCACUGUGAAGUGACAACUGAGAUUACCUAAUACACCGCCGAGAAUUAAAUUGCCGUCAGCCUCUUGCCUGCAUUUUCUGCGUUGUCUAUAGAGGCCCAGAGCUGUCAUCCCAGCACUCGGGAGGCUGAGGCAGGAGGAUUGCCAUGAGCUCGAGGCCAGCCUGGGCUACGCAGGGAGACCCUGGCUCAAAAAAUAAGUAAAAUAAAUGACACAGAGGACCUAGAGCAUCCUUUCCACACCGCGCUUUUCACUCCGCGUCUCUCUCUGCCUCUGUGGCAUCUGUCGCCAGAGCGCCUUGACAUAUGCUUGCACGCUGGUAGAGUUGGCACCCUUCAGGCUUCUGCCACUUCGCUUUGUUUGGGGCUCAGCGGACGUCACGGGGCCCGCGGAGCCCACGCUUCCGAACCGAGCCGGCGUCACGUGGAGCCGCACCCCCUACCCCCUGCGGUCCCCCCUGGGCGGCUUCCGGUCCAGCCCUCGUUUGUGCAAAGACCUUGAGCCGAGAUUGUCGGUGGGAAUCCACUCUCCCGUUACCCGCCCUGCUCCCUUAUGUGUUCGCUCGGCUCACAGAAUGUUCUUCCUCUGUUUUCCCACUGAGAUGAGAUAUUUGGAAAUCAAGUGGAGCAUUUAAUGUAAUAAGUGGCCAGCAAUCUUUAGAGGUUAAUUUGUUUAAAACCUACGUAAGGUUGGGGUCCCCUAUGCCCCGUUAGGAGCAAGGACCAUUAUAAUCUAUUACUGUUUAAAGUUGACCCAGCAC